RNAcentral lists this transfer RNA (108 nucleotides) under Acinetobacter piscicola. RNAcentral's name for it is "tRNA-Val". Lineage: Bacteria; Pseudomonadati; Pseudomonadota; Gammaproteobacteria; Moraxellales; Moraxellaceae. The record is from RNAcentral.
GUGUUUACGUCAAAAUUACGUCAAAUUAAAUUAAGUCAUUGUUUUUACUUGAAAGAUACUACGUUGACAUCGUAGAGGUCACCAGUUCGAAUCUGGUUAAACCUACCA